CUACUUCUGCUUUUCAAAGAUAAUAAAAUAUAAUUGUUCAUCUAUUUGCAGCCAAAUUCACAUGAGAGUGUAAAAGUUGAGUUUGGGAGCGUGGCCAGCAACAGCUUAAUUGGAUUUAAAGUGUUAGAGGCCCUAAGACAACUCAUUCUGAAAGGAGCU
This is a long non-coding RNA of Xiphophorus hellerii (green swordtail), 159 nucleotides long. RefSeq lists it as uncharacterized. The record is from RefSeq and is a predicted model, not a curated record. The transcript is spliced from 3 exons. Lineage: Eukaryota; Metazoa; Chordata; Actinopteri; Cyprinodontiformes; Poeciliidae.